AGCGGCUUAUGUUUUGAGGAAUGUCAAAACUAAUAUUCAUGUUUUGUUCAAUCGCAGAGCCGCCUGAAGAAAUACUUCAAAUCACAGAACAAGGAAUUCUCCCUCUUGCUCGAUGACGUAAGAAGCCUCCUCUCAGGUCUGUCCGACUACGAGGACGUUCAGAUGCGGUGACCUGCAGCUCCUGCCCGCGCUGCUGCAGUGGCGAGGUCUCUCCGGAUCCCAGAUCAGGGACGUGCAAUAUGCCAUGAUGGACCUACCCGGCUUUCAACUCCCACCCACGCCUGCUUCCUGCUUCUCCUGCUUCACCUGGUGGCGAAGCUGCUGCACGCCGGAAUCCACGGUUGUCAGCGAGGAGGACGGCUCUCAGAUCUGAUGCAAGGGAGUUGGAAUAAGCUUCAAGUGUACGUUAUGUCACUGGUGUCGCUUCCUUUCAGGUGUCGUUGUCGUAUAAGGAAAUAUACAUAUUUGUCGGGACAUUUGCACAUCGUUGACAGUACCGUUAUGUUUUGUGCAUCAACUUGUUGUAGAUCGGUCAACCUGUGCGCCUCCCGUCUCAUUCUUACUGUAUUUAUGCACAAGGCUAAAGUGCAACAGAAAGGCCGUGACUUGCGUGGAAUGUGGACGCAGGUUUCCGAAGCGAAGCUCA
Gasterosteus aculeatus aculeatus (three-spined stickleback) is the source of this 646-nucleotide long non-coding RNA. The record is from Ensembl. Lineage: Eukaryota; Metazoa; Chordata; Actinopteri; Perciformes; Gasterosteidae.